AUUAGUGGCGACGGGUGAGUAACACGUGGGCAAUCUGCCCUUCACUCUGGGACAAGCCCUGGAAACGGGGUCUAAUACCGGAUAACACUCUGUCCCGCAUGGGACGGGGUUAAAAGCUCCGGCGGUGAAGGAUGAGCCCGCGGCCUAUCAGCUUGUUGGUGGGGUAAUGGCCUACCAAGGCGACGACGGGUAGCCGGCCUGAGAGGGCGACCGGCCACACUGGGACUGAGACACGGCCCAGACUCCUACGGGAGGCAGCAGUGGGGAAUAUUGCACAAUGGGCGAAAGCCUGAUGCAGCGACGCCGCGUGAGGGAUGACGGCCUUCGGGUUGUAAACCUCUUUCAGCAGGGAAGAAGCGAAAGUGACGGUACCUGCAGAAGAAGCGCCGGCUAACUACGUGCCAGCAGCCGCGGUAAUACGUAGGGCGCAAGCGUUGUCCGGAAUUAUUGGGCGUAAAGAGCUCGUAGGCGGCUUGUCACGUCGGAUGUGAAAGCCCGGGGCUUAACCCCGGGUCUGCAUUCGAUACGGGCUAGCUAGAGUGUGGUAGGGGAGAUCGGAAUUCCUGGUGUAGCGGUGAAAUGCGCAGAUAUCAGGAGGAACACCGGUGGCGAAGGCGGAUCUCUGGGCCAUUACUGACGCUGAGGAGCGAAAGCGUGGGGAGCGAACAGGAUUAGAUACCCUGGUAGUCCACGCCGUAAACGUUGGGAACUAGGUGUUGGCGACAUUCCACGUCGUCGGUGCCGCAGCUAACGCAUUAAGUUCCCCGCCUGGGGGAGUACGGCGCAGCUAAACUCAAGGAUUGACGGGGGCCGCACAGCAGCGGAGCAUGUG
RNAcentral lists this ribosomal RNA (832 nucleotides) under Streptomyces sp. Its description in RNAcentral is "bacterial SSU rRNA". It matches the Rfam family "Bacterial small subunit ribosomal RNA", at positions 91 to 943 of the family's 1533-position model. Lineage: Bacteria; Bacillati; Actinomycetota; Actinomycetes; Kitasatosporales; Streptomycetaceae. The record is from RNAcentral.